This 1019-nucleotide long non-coding RNA is filed under the name Panax ginseng (ginseng). RNAcentral describes it as "long non-coding RNA (PGIN_LNC000108)". The record is from RNAcentral. Lineage: Eukaryota; Viridiplantae; Streptophyta; Magnoliopsida; Apiales; Araliaceae.
AAAAAAAAGGCAUGAAAACAAUCUUGGAAUUGACACUUCCGUACAAUCUUCAACUAUAAUCCUUAUGAGAGAUACAACUCAUCUUCAAGCCCAUUACACAAGCAUAUAUUUGGGCUUCUCUCUUGAAUGAGGUAACCUUGGAUUAUGAUUUUGGUAACUGAAAAAUGAUAUUUUUACAUGAUUUUUUUGAUAUUUUCAUAUGAAAAUCGUUUAUAUAGAUCUUAUAGCAACGAUUUUUAUAACACUUUUCGUAUGAAAAUAUCAAAAAAUCAUGUGAAAAUUAGACAAGAAAUCGUAGGAAAAAAAACCAAAUUAAAUUGUAAGGAUACACAAAAUAGAAAUUACUAAGAUAAUCGAAAAAUCCUGAAUAAUAAAGUGGAGGUUCUAAGAACCCAAUUAAACCUAAAUACGACAAAAAACUCAAAUAGACAUCUCUCUAUUAUCUCUAAACAUCUCGAAUACCUUAAACUAGAAAAAGGCAGCAGAAUGGGACGAAAGGAAGCGAAGGAUGAGGCGUCAGACUUAGGAUUGUAGUGCAUCGGUGGCAGGAGAACGGAUGGAGGAGAUUGAGCUGACGGCGGCUGAAUUACCGGAUAAUCUUUUUUCUUGGGUGGAGAAUCAGAGGAGAGAGAUGAUUGUUGGUUAUGUGAGUGGGAGGAAGAAGGUUUAGGGGUUUGGGGAGGAGUAACGAAGCCUGUCCAAGUCCGAUCAUCGGCGGCGGAUGAGGAGUUGUUGGAUCUCUAUUUACUAGCGAUGAAGUGAGGAUUGAGUUUGGGAAAGCUAAAUCAGCGUGAAUAUUAAAAAAAAAUUAAAAAAGAAGCAAAACGGCGAAAGAAAUUGCACAUUGGGAAGGAGAGAGUAAAGAAGAUGUAUGUAUAAAUUUACUCGCAUAAUUUUGCCCUCCUUCCUCAAAGCUUGGAUUGGUCCAGGGCCGAUCCAUUUGUUAAGCUAUUGAAACAAUGGUUUGAGGCCCCUAUAAUUGAGAAGAUCUCAAAAUUUUAAUAAUUCAUAUAUGUUAG